UACAGAGGUGGCAAGCGUUGUUCGGAAUUACUGGGCGUAAAGGGCGCGUAGGCGGUCUUUUAAGUCUUGUGUGAAAUCCCUCGGCUUAACUGAGGAACUGCACGGGAUACUGGAUAACUUGAGUUCGGGAGAGGGAAGCGGAAUUCCGGGUGUAGCGGUGAAAUGCGUAGAUAUCCGGAGGAACACCGGUGGCGAAGGCGGCUUCCUGGACCGACACUGACGCUGAGGCGCGAAAGCUAGGGGAGCAAACGGG
This 253-nucleotide ribosomal RNA is filed under the name uncultured bacterium. Its description in RNAcentral is "partial 16S ribosomal RNA". It matches the Rfam family "Bacterial small subunit ribosomal RNA", at positions 524 to 776 of the family's 1533-position model. The record is from RNAcentral.